RNAcentral lists this ribosomal RNA (253 nucleotides) under uncultured bacterium. RNAcentral describes it as "partial 16S ribosomal RNA". It matches the Rfam family "Bacterial small subunit ribosomal RNA", at positions 524 to 776 of the family's 1533-position model. The record is from RNAcentral.
UACAGAGGGGGCAAGCGUUGUUCGGAAUUACUGGGCGUAAAGGGCGCGUAGGCGGCCUUCUAAGUCGGACGUGAAAUCCCCGGGCUCAACCAGGGAACUGCGUCCGAUACUGGAAGGCUUGAAUCCGGGAGAGGGAUGCGGAAUUCCAGGUGUAGCGGUGAAAUGCGUAGAUAUCUGGAGGAACACCGGUGGCGAAGGCGGCAUCCUGGACCGGCAUUGACGCUGAGGCGCGAAAGCCAGGGGAGCAAACGGG